GGUGUUUAGGGACAUGGUUUAGUGGGUGACAUUGGUGGUAGGGUGAUGGUUGGACCAGAUGAUCUUGAAGGUGUUUUCCAACCUUAACUGAUUCUGUGAUUCUACUAGCAAGGUCAUGCAGCAGAUACAAAGGUCCUUCCUAAAAGACACUGUGAUACAGGUAGGCAUUGAACUAAAGACUGUUUCCGCUGUUCUUUUUUGGAGAACUCAAGUAACUCUUCAACUUUAAAGUCAUUCUUCACACUCUUGUGCAUUUAUAUUCCACCCUCUUUGCAAUCUGCCUGCAUUUCUGGGAAAGUUAUUUUCUUUACUGUUCACAUUCAGUGUCCAAUCUUUAAAUAGGUUUUAAUCACAAAAGUUGCCUGAGUAAGAGUCUAAUUUAUAGGUUUCUAUUCUCUUCACAUCUCUGCCUACCUGAUGAAGAAAUGCUUUAUUAUCCAGUUAGUUUUGUUCUGAGAUAUCUAUUCUAUGCUUUAAUCAAAUAAUUGAAUCAUCUCUCAGUCCACUGUAUGAUAAAUUAAACAAACCAAACUCUUUACACCAUUUUCUUGAAUCACUUUCAGCUUUCUCUGCAGUAUUUCCAAUUUUUUCAAUAUUGUCAGAAAAAGAAAGAUGACCUGCACAUUGAAAUCUGAUAUUGGUCUUUGCAGAGCUGUGAGUCCCUGUGUUCUCCCAUCCUGCAUGCUGCUCACUCCUUUCUUGUUAGUACACUGUGGGACGGCAAAACUCCUCUUUGCCGCAAAGUUCUGCUGGAAGUUUGGGCUGAUCCAGUUAAAUGAACUUGCACGAUUUGCUCUGAGGAAGGUGACUUUGCAAUUUGUUUGUACUAAAAUGCAUUAAUUUCACAAACCCAACUAUUCAGUGUAGGCUGCCUCCACACUAUCUGUCACUACACGGGCCUUUCUGUGCACUUCUUUUAUUUACAAUUUUAUAUUUUCCUCCAGAUCAACCAUAGUAUUUGUAUGACAGUUAUAGAAGUUAAUCAACUAUAAUAAGUUGUAUGACAAAAUGCCUGUUGUUGCUAAACCUAAUAAAGCAAAGCCUUCAUCUUUUGGCUUCUUAAUGACAAACCAGUAGGCAGUCUACAGCGAUGUACACAGCUUCUGAUAAUCCAAGAUCUCUGCGUGCAUCUUCAUGCAUACAGAGUGGGCAGGAAAAGAACCACUGAUUUAGUGGUUCUUUUUAAAGAACCACUAAAUUGGUGGAUUUAGAACCACCAAUUUAGUACGCUUGUUGUUCCAGCUGUGCCCGUGGAUAACUGCUUACUGUGAAUGCUGUGGUAAGAUUGCCCUGUUAACAACACAGGCCUUGCCUUUUGUCAAAUGCCAAAAGGGAUUUGGCGCUGAAGCAACGUUUCUUUAGCUUCCUCUAGAUGUUAGCUACUUUGUGGCCUACGUGCCUUCCUGGGACAUCUCUCCAGCCAAGAACCAGUGAACUACCAGCUGGUGGCAGCAGCAGCUUCUCCAAGACCAAGGUGUGAAGACCUGAUCACAGUUCUUGGGAACAAUGUAUGACAGUCUAGAGUGUGAAUGUCUCCAGUUGUGUCAGACCCGCAUGAGGGGGAGUGAAUGCAUGUCUCAGCCCAACAUGGAGUAUAAAAAACAAACAACUAGCAGAAGAAUUUUGAAGAGAUCAACAGGCUCAAGCUGGCUUCAGACCUGCACAUUUCUUCCUGGUGACUCUGGAUGCCCAGCGUUGUGAUGGAAGGAGACUGUGUCCCAUGCUGUAAAGGAAAUCAAUGGUGCCUACCAAGCUGAUCUGGGUAAACAACUCUAAAAGACAUCCAGUUCUAGAGGCUGGCCUAAUCCUGAGGAUGUGAGCAGGACACUAAAACCUUAAGGUUUUAAUGCCACCUAUAAUAAUCUACCUGCAGUGGACCUACAGUCCUACAGACCUACAGUGGAAGUCAAAAAGACCAGUAGAGGACAAAUUAUGCAUCAAGAGGAAUGAAAAAUAUUUUCCAGCUCCAGUGGAAGCCCUGAGGCAUGGAAUUAUUAUAAGUGUAAUGCAAAUCAACAGUGAUCUAAUUUCUUUUCUCACACAACUGGGGAUACCGACAUAUCAGAUGCCAAGGGACUCAUAACAUAAGCCUAAUUUUCUAUCCUCUCCUAUUCUAUUCUGUUGUACAAUUAUGUCCAUAAGCUUCUCAGGCUCCAUCCUACAAGACUGAAGGCUACUGCUUCCAGAGCUUGGAAGAGCAUUCAAGCCCCUCAUUCGUCAGAUAGCUGAAAGCCUUUAGAUUUCCAGUCCAAAUGCAUUCAGGAUUACUCACUGUACAGCCAUUUGAUCAUGUGAUGAAGUCAAUAUCCCUCUCUGACAUUUACUUCUCAAAUAUAUUUAUAUAGUGUCACCACACCCCCAUUCAGUCCUUGCUGGGCUAUUCUAAACAAGACCAGAUCUUCUAAUUCUCCUACAAAGAUGUGCAUUUUGUUCACCCAGUCACCCUGGGAAUGUUUCUUUGCUCUUGUUACAAUUAAAGUAACAUCUUCUAACUUGUUCA
This is a long non-coding RNA of Anas platyrhynchos (mallard), 2500 nucleotides long. RefSeq lists it as uncharacterized. NCBI's taxonomy places the organism in Eukaryota, Metazoa, Chordata, Aves, Anseriformes, Anatidae. The record is from RefSeq and is a predicted model, not a curated record.